GACGAACGCUGGCGGCGUGCUUAACACAUGCAAGUCGAACGGAAAGGCCCCCUUGUGGGGUACUCGAGUGGCGAACGGGUGAGUAACACGUGAGUAACCUACCCUUGACUUUGGGAUAACUUCAGGAAACUGGGGCUAAUACCGGAUAGGAGCUCCUGCUGCAUGGUGGGGGUUGGAAAGUUUCGGCGGUUGGGGAUGGACUCGCGGCUUAUCAGCUUGUUGGUGGGGUAGUGGCUCACCAAGGCUUUGACGGGUAGCCGGCCUGAGAGGGUGACCGGCCACAUUGGGACUGAGAUACGGCCCAGACUCCUACGGGAGGCAGCAGUGGGGAAUAUUGCACAAUGGGCGGAAGCCUGAUGCAGCAACGCCGCGUCCGGGAUGACGGCCUUCGGGUUGUAAACCGCUUUCGCCUGUGACGAAGCGUGAGUGACGGUAAUGGGUAAAGAAGCACCGGCUAACUACGUG
Molecule: ribosomal RNA, 465 nt
Filed under: uncultured bacterium
Lineage: Bacteria
Description: partial 16S ribosomal RNA
Rfam family: Bacterial small subunit ribosomal RNA
Source: RNAcentral